This 5426-nucleotide unclassified non-coding RNA is filed under the name Portunus trituberculatus (swimming crab). Its description in RNAcentral is "serine/arginine repetitive matrix protein 2-like, transcript variant X3". The record is from RNAcentral. Lineage: Eukaryota; Metazoa; Arthropoda; Malacostraca; Decapoda; Portunidae.
GCCACUCGGAAGGACGGCAACAUUUUGGCAUCGAGGCCGAGCUUUGCGUCGUGUAGACUGUUGAGUGUGGUGGUGUGGGCGCCUGAUGAGUUGAGAUAGGGUGCACGGCGUCUGCUGGAACGUGUGAGUGGAAGUGGCGAGGUAGUGUAGGAGGCAGCAGGGACGUACCUGGUGCCAGUUAGCCAGCCUACAAGCACAGCAUAACACCGCCCACUGUCACCCUGUGACCUCUCUGUAGUGUGUGGCACUCACGCACACUCGGCCUUUGCCCUUGACCCUACAGGGUGCAGGUGUCAGGGUGUGAGUGGCAGCACAAUAGGGAGUACAGGGUGAAUGUCAGGAUCACUCCAGGAUGGAUAAUUCAGAAGUAAAUAAGACAUCAGAUGAAAUUAUAAAUGAGCUCUUUUGUUCAUUAAAUGUCCCACUGUCACCCAAGGUAGUAGAAGUGGAGGAAAGAUUAACAAGCAAGACUGAACAGCUGAGUGCACACACCGGAGACUCCGAAAACAGUGGGGAUGACGAGAGUGAUUCAAAGUCCAGUGAAAGUGAAGGAGAGACCAAGGUUAUGGGAGGAGACAUGCAAGGUAACAGAGUUGAAAAACUGAAAUCCCAGAAGAAAAAGAAAGACAAAAGGAAAAAGAAAAAGAAACACAGAAAAAAAGAAGAUGGGGGAAGACAUAAGCACAAGAAGAAAAAGAAAAAAGAAAAUUUUGAAACAGCAGAAGAAGCUAAGCUGGCUGGAGACAUAUUGCAAGAUGUCAAAUUGAAAAAUCAGGCAGUGAUUCAGAAAAUAAUGAUUCUUGAGGAAGUGACAUCCGGCACUGUGAAUGAUGGAGAACAUGAAGAGAAAAAGUCAAGAUCUAAAAGUCCUCAUUUGUUAGAUACACAGAUAGAAGUUGAUGGAGUAGACAACAAAAAGAAGUCAGAACAAGAAUCACAGAACCCUUGUGAUGAAGUCCUGGUGUCAGACAGGGAAGGAGCCACCAGCUUGCCUGUGGUGUCAUGUGAAGAUAGAGGUUAUUUUCCUGCAGGUGCUUCCAAGUCAGAUAUACAGCCAUGUCUCACACAUGAGAGAAGUCCAGGGGCAGAAUGUGUGAGUAGGUCAUCACAAGUCAGUCCUGCAGCCACAGGUGAGCACAAAAGAAAACACUCCCCACAUUCCUGCUCCCCAUCACCUGUGAAGAAACAGAAAUCCUACAGCUCAGUGUCACCACCAGAGUCCUCGUCCCCCAAAGCUGUGUGCAGACUCAGGUCACCAAGCUCUACAGAAAGGUCAAGAUCAAGAUCACUCAAAGACACCAAGUCAAGCAGAACAAAAUCAAGGUCACCAUUAGUGAAGCAGUCAGCAGAAGACAGGGCUGGGUCAAAGUCUAGGAGGUCCAGGUCACAGUCCAGCAAGAGAUCAGAGUCCAAGAAAAGGUCAGGCUCAAGGAAAAGGUCCCCGUCAAAAUCAAGGAAGAAAAUGGAAUCAAAGUUAAAGAAAAGAUCUAGAUCUAGAUCCAGAAAGAGGUCAAGAUCAAGAAAGUCAAGGUCACGAUCAAGAAGAUCUAGGUCACGAUCUAGGAGGUCAAGGUCAAGAUCUAGGAGAAAAGCAAGAUCUAGGUCAAAAUCCAGGAGAGGAUCAAACUCUAGGCAGAGAUCAAGGUCAAAGUCAAAGAUGAGGUCAAGAUCUAAAUCAAAAUCUAGGAGAAGGUCAAGGUCAAAGUCCAGUAAAAGGUCAGAGUCAAAGUCUGGGAGGAAGUCUGCAUCCAAGUCCAACAGGUCAAAAUCUAGGGAAAGGUCAAGGUCCAGGUCAAGGAGAACGUCAGGAUUAAGAGGCGUAAGAUCAAGGUCAGGAUCAAGGUCACAGUCAAGGCAGAGGUCAAGCUCUAAGUGUGGCAAGCGAUCCCAGUCGAGGUUGAGAAGAAGGUCCCGGUCCAGGUCCAAGUCUCGCAGGUCAAGGUCGAGAGGCUCACAGUCUUACAGAAGGUCAAGAUCCAGGUCAAGUCACAAGAGCUCCCCGGCCAAAGAGAGGUUCGACAUGUUUGCUGUGAUGAGGGAGAGAGCCAACAGACUUGCUGAGCUGAAGAACCAAGGCAUCCCUGAUGGCUCCCUGGGCAGCCUUCUAUUGUCUGCAGCUGCCAGUGUGCAGUCCAGUGGCAGUGGCAUCCCUCAGUCUGUGCCCGCCUCAGACCCCAGCUCCAUACCUCUCCCCCAAAAAGGUUUGCUCCAUGAUGACUCUUCACCUAAAGAUGAACCUAUGGCAGAAAGCAUUACCACCAUGGAGGAAGAGAAGCCUGCAGGUGUCACUGAGGAGGCUGUCACCCUGCUGUCCCCGGAGCAGGACGCCAGUAAAAUGAAAGAUGGGAACAAGAGCAAGCAAGAGGAAGGGAAUGAAAAAGGCAAGAUGAAAACCGUAAUCACAAUCAAGAGCUUGAAGGACAGCCUAGUUUUCCAGCAGGCACAAGAGGAGGCUGAGAGGAAAGCAAAGGAAAAGGUUGAUCAGCCAGCAGGCAAUGAGGCCAGCAAUGCAGCAGACAGCAAGUGGUGGGAAAAGCAGAGAAGCACAGAUAGACACCACAAAGAUGAGGCAACAACAGAUGAAGAGGAAUACCAUGGCAGAAGAGACAGAACAGAAAGUGAAGAAAAUAUUAAGAAAAACAAGAAAGAGGAAAAGGAGAAAGGGAAUGAUAAGAAGGAAGGGGAGCAAGGUGAAGAGGGAGAGUAUUGCUUGAAAGAAACACACAUUGAGACAGAGGUUUUCAAACAACAAGUUGAAAUAGAAGGCAGAGAGACUGAGAAAAAUAUGCACACUGAAAAGACUAAAGCAAAUACAGAGGAAACAGACAUAGAAGCAAAAAUUACCUCAAAGAAAAUUACCAUGACUAAGACCAGAGAGAGAGAGGAGGAAAAGGAAGGCAAGCACUCCAGUAAGACAGAGAAAGAGGAAAGGAAAGCAAGUAAGCAGUCAGAUAAAGUCAAAGAGGGUGAGGAGCAUGAUGGAAAUGAGCAUAUUGAACUGGAAGGUGAAGACAAAGGAAGCAAGCAAUCCAGUAAAACAGAGGAAGAAGAUGGUAAGAAAAUUAAACCCUCAAGCAAAACAGAUAAGGUAGAGGGGAGCAAGGGAAACAAACUUGUGAAUAAAGUAAUGGAGGAGAAGGAGGAAGAGGAGGAGGACAAAGUAAAUAAACACUCCAAUAGAACAGAAAGGAAAGAGGAGAAAGUCACUGCAAACUAUUCAUUUAGUAAAGGAAAGGAGGAGGAAAGAGUAAACAAGCAGUUAAGUAAAACAGAAGAAAAGGAAGAAGGAAUAUUGAGCAAACUAUUAAGCAGGAUGGAAGAGGAUAAAAGUAAAGGAAGCAAGUCAUCCAGUAAGGCACAAGAGAGAGAGGAAGGAAUGAAGAGUAGACAUUUAAGUAAAACAGAAGACAGGGAGGACAGUAAAUUGAUUAAGGACUUGAGUGGCAAGAAUGGUCACCCCCAGCCAGAGGAGGACCCAGCAGACAAAAUAGAAGAAGGUGAAAUAACUAGUGACAAGGAAGAAGAGGAGGCUAAACUACCAAGCAAACCUCACAGCAAGAAGUCAAAGAAAGAUAAAUAUAGUGGCAAAGAAAAGAAGCGAUCACAUAAAGACAAGAGCAAGAACAAGGAAGAGAAAAAGAAGGCACAUGACAAGAAGAAAGAACAGGAGAAGGCAAGAUCCAAAGAGACACACAAGUCCAGGCAGCACUCCAGCAGUUCAGGCACCAAGGAGCACUCCCACGGCCGGCGCCAUAGGAAGCAUUCUCACUCUAGAUCUCGCUCACGCUCCCGCUCACGCUCCAGAGACCACUCCAGCAGGCAGCACCGCCGGAGCCACUCAAGGUCCAGGUCCAAGUCUCGCUCCAAAAGACGCCGUGAGUCCACUUCUGACCUCAGGGACAAGGUAACCAGGAAGAGGUUGCUGGAAAUUGCUCGUCGGAAUGCGGUGUACCUGAUGCAGAAUGGAUGUCUUCCCCCAAGUGUGGAGAAGGAACAGCUGGUCAAGAUCAAGGCGGGAGGCAAGAGUGUUGACGAGCUCACAGAUUUUUGCAAGCAGCUAGUAGCCAGUGGUAACUAUAGUGAUGUUGAUGUGAGUGAGCCAUCCAUGAGUUCAGAGGAAGAGAACAGUUCAGAGAAGCCCUUCAGCAGUACUCGUCACCCCUUCAGUGUGCGGGACAGCAAGCCCAUCUUGAUGAAUAUUAGGAAUGCUCCAAUGCUGCCAACCAAGACCAAUGCAGAGAGACUGGCAGGUCAGGCCAAGCUUCGGGAGCAGUUUCCAGUGUCCAGUGGGUCACAACACCGCACCAAAGAGAGCGAGUGGGUUCCUGUCACCCCAAAGGAAAAGAAGGAAGAGGACAAGGUGUUCACCAAGCCUGAAGCUCCGUCUGUGGACAUAUCUCAGAUUGUUUCAACAAGACUCAGUGCCAUGAGGAAACUCCAAGAUAAUCCAAAUGACAGUGAGGCAAUUAAGACCCUGAACAAUGUGCAGAAAGAGAUGCAGAACUGGGCACUCAGUAAGCAGGAGCCAGGUCAGUUUACAGGAACAACAGGCGUCAAGGUUCUGUCUCAAGAAGAACUGUCUUCAGGUCACCAGGCCUGGGCCAGGAAGGAACAGUUCAAAGAAGCUGCACCUGUGAGGCCUCAUUUUGGAUUGAAGAUGCUGCAGAAGAUGGGCUGGUCUCCUGGAGAGGGGCUGGGCAAGAACAAAGAAGGCACCACUGAACCUCUCCUCCUGGAUGUCAAGAUGGACAAAAAAGGAUUUCAUGCACAAGAAGAAGUAACACCAAAGAAGCAGCCAAUACCGCUUGUGAAGGAUCUGUCUGGUAAACACCCAGUGUCAGCCCUGGUUGAGUUGUGUUCAAAGCGCAAGUGGUCACCACCUGACUUUGAAAUGGUGUUCGAUUGUGGACCAGACCACAAAAAGAAUUUUCUAAUGAAGAUUACAGGAACCGCUAUGUAUGAAUGGCUCAUGUCCCUAGCCGUGACCUUGUGGCCCUUCUUACUGCAGGUGCUGGCCGGGGGAGGGUUCUACCCACAGCCCAGCUUGCCAUACUAUGGGCCAUGCACACCAACAGCUCAAGUGUCAGAGGUGUGGCAGGACGCAGUACAACAACAGCCAUCUACCUACGGCUUGGAGAGGCACACCGGGGAGCAUGAACUGAGAGGCGCGGGGUUGGAGGGGUACUGUGAGGCUGCUGUUACUUCUACCAACUCUUAUACUGAUACAUUAACGAUGAAUAGAAAAGUAAAAGCGAUGGGCCCCCAGAUACAGAUCUUAUUAUGAUGACAGUUAUGAAAAGCUUCGAAGACAGUUUCCAGUCUCCAGUGGCUCAGAACACCGAGCCAUAGAGGGUCCACAAGCACCACCAGCUCACCUGAAGCUGAAGUUAGAUGAAGACUGGGACCAUGACACAACCUCAGUAAGA